GUGAGGAAUAUUGGUCAAUGGGCGGAAGCCUGAACCAGCCAUGCCGCGUGAAGGACGAAGGCGUUCUGCGUUGUAAACUUCUUUUAUAAGGGAAGAAACCUGCGAUAUCUCUUGCAGCCGACGGUACCUUAUGAAUAAGCACCGGCUAACUCCGUGCCAGCAGCCGCGGUAAUACGGAGGGUGCAAGCGUUAUCCGGAUUCACUGGGUUUAAAGGGUGUGUAGGCGGGCUUGUAAGUCAGGGGUGAAAUCCUACAGCUUAACUGUAGAACUGCCUUUGAUACUAUAGGUCUUGAAUAUUGUUGAGGUGGGCGGAAUACAUCAUGUAGCGGUGAAAUGCUUAGAUAUGAUGUAGAACACCGAUUGCGAAGGCAGCUCACUAAGCAAAUAUUGACGCUGAGGCACGAAAGCGUGGGGAUCAAACAGGAUUAGAUACCCUUGUAGUCC
This 445-nucleotide ribosomal RNA is filed under the name uncultured bacterium. RNAcentral's name for it is "partial 16S ribosomal RNA". It matches the Rfam family "Bacterial small subunit ribosomal RNA", at positions 354 to 796 of the family's 1533-position model. The record is from RNAcentral.